CCUACGGGUGGCAGCAGUGAGGAAUAUUGGUCAAUGGACGCAAGUCUGAACCAGCCAUGCCGCGUGCAGGAAGACGGCUCUAUGAGUUGUAAACUGCUUUUGUACGAGGGUAAACGCAGAUACGCGUAUCUGUCUGAAAGUAUCGUACGAAUAAGGAUCGGCUAACUCCGUGCCAGCAGCCGCGGUAAUACGGAGGAUUCAAGCGUUAUCCGGAUUUAUUGGGUUUAAAGGGUGCGUAGGCGGUCGGAUAAGUUAGUGGUGAAAGCCCGAGGCUCAACUUCGGAAUUGCAUCUGAUACGGUUCGGCUAGAGAGUAGUAGCGGUAGGCGGAAUGUAUGGUGUAGCGGUGAAAUGCUUAGAGAUCAUACAGAACACCGAUUGCGAAGGCAGCUUACCAAGCUACUUCUGACGUUGAGGCACGAAAGCGUGGGGAGCAAACAGGAGUAGAUACCCUAGUAGUC
This 460-nucleotide ribosomal RNA is filed under the name uncultured bacterium. Its description in RNAcentral is "partial 16S ribosomal RNA". It matches the Rfam family "Bacterial small subunit ribosomal RNA", at positions 338 to 795 of the family's 1533-position model. The record is from RNAcentral.